GACGGGGGGGGCAAGUGUUCUUCGGAAUGACUGGGCGUAAAGGGCACGUAGGCGGUGAAUCGGGUUGAAAGUGAAAGUCGCCAAAAAGUGGCGGAAUGCUCUCGAAACCAAUUCACUUGAGUGAGACAGAGGAGAGUGGAAUUUCGUGUGUAGCGGUGAAAUGCGUAGAGAUGUGGAGGAACACCAGUGGCGAAGGCGACUCUUUGGUCUGUAACUGACGCUGAGGCGCGAAAGCGUGGGGAGCAAACAGG
Molecule: ribosomal RNA, 251 nt
Filed under: uncultured bacterium
Lineage: Bacteria
Description: partial 16S ribosomal RNA
Rfam family: Bacterial small subunit ribosomal RNA
Source: RNAcentral